AGGACCUGGGCUGACACACUGAUUAACAGGGGAACAGAUGAGGACUGGGUUCAGAGGCCUACUGUACAUUUGAGUACUCACUGCAGGUUACCACUGAGCCAUCGGACGAGGAUGCUGACCCAUAAUGAUCCUAAAAUCCUCUGGGUACUGAUCUACCUGUACCUGGUCAGAGCCGUUGCUGGGGCUGGCAGGAACCAAAUCUGCCUCUUGGAUACUGAGAACUAAGGCUUUGUAGAACAUCUUUUUCUCUUUUAAAUUGCAGGUGUCCUAGCUCACUUACUUAUGGUUUAUGAAACUAGCCAAUUCUACUUGAAGGCCAGCCUGAACGAGCAACAGCAAGCCGACUCAGAUGAUAGCAUCAGCUCAUCCAGCUCUUUGGUCAAAACCAUUGCUCUCAAUAUCACCAUUGCCCUUGCCAAUAAUCAUAAUAAGAGCUAACAUUUAUCGAGCACUUAAUUUGUGCCAGGCAGCCUGCCAAACACCAUGCAUGGAUUAUCUUAUUUGAUUCUCAUAACUACUCUGUAAGGUAGGCCCCAUUUUUUUCCCCAGAGAAGUUAAGUAUUUGCUGAAGGCCACAUGACUAAUAAACGGCAAAAUUUAAAAUCAGGUCAAUCUCAUUUCACAGCCUGUGCUCUUAACUACUAGAAUGAGCACAGCUGUCAGUGAUACAUCCGGGUGAGGACCUCAGACUUGACUCCCUCUGCCUGAUUGCUCGUGUUUCUUUUGCUGCCUUUAAGGACCUGCCUCUCUGAUGAAAAUGGACUUCCUAACUCUGUGAUACCGUGGAAUCUUAGAGAGGAUGUCACUGCACCCUGCCCACCAAUUUGAUGUGGUUUAAGGUGCCAGCUGCUGAUAUCUGCAGGCUGCUAACAUGACUGCUUAACCACCUAUCUUGGAACAGCUUGGUAUAGCAAGCCCAGGGGUGGCUGCUAGGAAUUCUGAACCAACGCAAAAUGGAGAAGCCACCCUUCUCGCAGCUGCAAGAUUUUGCAUUCCCACCAGCAAGAAUGAGGAUUCCAAUUUCUCCACAUCCUUGGCAACACUUGUUAUUGUCUGUCUUUUUGAUUAUAGCCAUUCCAGUGGAAGUGAAUUGGUAUCUUCUUGUGGUUUUGCAUGGCAUUUCCUUAACAACUCAUGAUGUUGGGCAUCUUUUCAUGUACUUAUUGGGCAUUUGUAUAUCUUCUUUGGAGAAAUGUCUAUCCAAAUUCUUUACCAAUUUUUAAUUGAGUUAUUUAUAAUUUUAUUGUUAAGUUUUAAGUUCUUUAUAUAUUCUGAAUACAAGUCUCUUAUCAGAUAUAUUAUUUGCAUGUAUUUUUGACAUUCUAUGGUUUGUCUUUUCACUUUCUUGAUGAUGUUCUUUGAAGCACAAAAGUUUUUAAUUUUGAUAAUCAAUUUACCUAUCGUUUCUUUUUUUUUUUUUUAUGCUUUGGUUGUCAUAUAUAAGAAAAAAUUGCUAAGUCAAGAUCUUGAACAUUUGCUCCUAUGUUUUCCUCUAGGAGUAU
This 1502-nucleotide long non-coding RNA is filed under the name Equus caballus (horse). RNAcentral describes it as "lncRNA (ENSECAG00000058634.1)". The record is from RNAcentral. Lineage: Eukaryota; Metazoa; Chordata; Mammalia; Perissodactyla; Equidae.